This is a long non-coding RNA of Cucumis sativus (cucumber), 852 nucleotides long. RefSeq lists it as uncharacterized. The transcript is spliced from 2 exons. Lineage: Eukaryota; Viridiplantae; Streptophyta; Magnoliopsida; Cucurbitales; Cucurbitaceae. The record is from RefSeq and is a predicted model, not a curated record.
UGUAAUACAUGUAUAUGUGACAUAAUCUAAUCAAACUAACUCAUAAAUGGACUUAAUCGAUCUCAUGGACCACAAAUUCUUCAAUUACUUGCAAAUUUGGUGAGUUCCUUCAAACGGUGGGCGAAGAGCUUAAUUUUGAGAGAGAGGAAAAGUCGUGAAGAGUAUUUGCGAGAGAGGGGGAACGUCGCCAGAGAGCAUUUGCGAGAGAGCUAAAGACAGUGACGAUGUGGGAUGAAGUAAGGUUUUUUUCGGUCAUUGUUCACAAGUGGGAUGAAAGCUUCGAAUUAUUUGUUUUAAAUCAAAAAGCGUAUGAUUGAAGGAAAACAUUGAUUUUUUAUUAGGGUAAUUUUUAAUGACACAUAAUUUAUGCCAUUAUUUACGAUGCGAAAAUUUUGUCAAGAAAACUCAAUUUGUGUCACAAAAAAUUUUGUAUUUUUAUUUUUAACGACACAUUUUAUUCCCUCAUAUCCCUUUUUCUUGAUUUCAAGUGUCAUUAAAACUUAUAUUUCUAAAUAAAUUUAUUCGACGAAAGUGGCUAGAUUGGUGGGUUUGACGGCGAAGGCUUGUUGUGGGAGCAAUGACAACAGUGGUUGGAGUGUGGAAUCGACGACGGCAAGUGGCAAAAAAUUGGAGGGCAAGGGUUCUUCAUAACCACUUGGCAAAUGUAAUAAAGGCGGCAAACCGGCGAGGGGCAGGAAGGAAGCGUGAUUGCCAUAGGAAAUGUGUUAUUUUGCUUCCGCUUAUUGUUUUUUUUUUAGGUUUAAGACGUUGUAUUGAAAUUUAGCUUACAAACUUUUAUUUGUAAAUAGUACUUUUUUUAAGUUUUUGGAAUAUUUGAAAAUCAGGCUUGAC